GGAAGGGAGGAUGAUAAUUAAACAAUCAGAUGUGCUAAGUGCAUCAUGCUGGGACACCGCUACAUUUCAGAUGGGUUGCAAGGUUUGAAGCCGAAGGCGAUAACUCAGGAAGCGGCCACGUUACAGCUGUAACAGUAAGACUUUCUGCGUGGUCCCUGGAGCACCACGGUGCCAGUCUUCUCCUGAAACACUCCCUGCUGGCGUGCCGGACGCUCGGCAUCUUUCAGCUGCUAAGACUGAGAUUUUCCCCUCUGGAUUUACUCCAAGGCUCCUCUCCCUGCCUGCCUCACGCGGAGAGCAACUGAGCUCCAGGAGUAAAGGUAAAUCCAUCUUUCACAUCCCCUGUGAAAAAAAAACCACAUUAUUUAUAAGUAUGGCCAAUUGUCAAUGUCAAAGAUAUUUUUUCUAAAGCAGCAAAAACCAUCUUUCACAUCCCCUGUGAAAAAAAAACAUUAUUUAUAAAUAUGUAUACAUUGGCCAAUUGUCAAUGUCAAAGAUAUUUUUUCUAAAGCAGCAAAAACUUGUAGGUUUUGAAAAUCUCUUUCCAUGCUAAAACUCCAGGUGCCAAACUUUAGAAAACAGUUAUAAUCUUGUCAAUCUGCUAUAUCAUUCAAAUUUUAGCUUUGAGGAAGCUUAUAUUAGCCCACGAGGCUAUCUGCUGUUCCUGGAACCACAGUCCUGUCUAGGGUAAAAGACAAUAGUCAACAAAAUCACUGUGUAAAAGCAUCCUUUUUUUUUGGCCCUGAACUUGUAUAAUGAGAAGUUUCAUGUGGGCAGAAUAGUAUCAGGACUGAUUACGCUGUGUUUCUACUUUAGCUGCUUGUCUUCCAGUUUGGGGGUUUUAAACUCUCUUCCAUGACAAAUGUCUGUGUUCAGUGAAUAAUUUCAUUUUUUUAUAAAAAAUACUAGAGGAGACAUUAAAAAACCCACCUCCUCUAAACAAGAAUUGCCAUAACAUAUUGUAAUAGUGAUUUAACGCUUUGGGAGGCAAUAAGGAGAAUAUACACACUACUGAGACAAUGCACAGAAAAUAGUUCUUCACUCGCCACAGUGCUCCUGGCCCAAGGUUUUCAGGCAGCACCAUUUAAUGCCUCCAUCCCUCCUGGCUCUGUCAAGGAGGGGUGAUGGAACCAGGUACUUUAGUCCACAGGGGGCUAAUGGGGACACCAGACACGAUGACAUUUGUCAAUGAAAUAAUGCAAAACAGGCCACACUUUAACAUUUUAUUUGUUCUAUGCCGCAGAAGGAAAUAAUAAGAUAAGGACCAAAUGGCAAAUUCCCCACUGAGGGAAUUCCCAGUUUCUGUUGCAGUUGUGCUUUUUGAGUUUUGAGUGUUUCACAAAAGCUUACAGGAAAUGCUGAUGAAGAUAAAAAUUUCUUCUAGUUGUUAGUUAUCAGUGAAUACUUCA
This 1409-nucleotide long non-coding RNA is filed under the name Calidris pugnax (ruff). RNAcentral describes it as "lncRNA (ENSCPUG00000011528.1)". The record is from RNAcentral. Lineage: Eukaryota; Metazoa; Chordata; Aves; Charadriiformes; Scolopacidae.